Molecule: long non-coding RNA, 3882 nt
Organism: Brassica rapa (field mustard)
Lineage: Eukaryota; Viridiplantae; Streptophyta; Magnoliopsida; Brassicales; Brassicaceae
Source: RefSeq, a predicted model, not a curated record
UCUCUUUUGUCUCUCUCUCUCUCUUCUUUUUAAUUCUCUUAGAGCAACAUUAUCAAUGCCAACUCUUAUCAAACAUCUUAGAAUAUUUAAUUAGUAUUUUUAGUGUAAGAAGUUUUCUAAGAUACUUAAGUAAAAUACAACAUUAUCAAUGGAACUUUUUGUAGGUUCUUAGGUAUAAAAUUAUUAUUUUUAUUAAUAAGUAGUAAUUAAGAUAUAUCUAUUUAUAUUCAAUACAUUAAAAAGAGAAAAAAAAUUCAUUUACUUAAAAUUACAAACAUUUUAUUACAUUCCAUACAUAAAAAAAAAAAAAAUCAUAAAUCACACAUUUAUUCAAUUCAUAGAAACUUUAAAAUCAUUGGUUAUUUGGAAGAUGUCGAAAUUUAGUCCAAAUAUUUUCGAUUAAAUCGAAUUUUAAUUGUUCAUGGGCUUGUCUGUUACGGACGCUCGAUCGACGAUCCAUUGCAGUGCCGAGAUUUGAAUUCGGAGUAACGGUGAAUGUAUCAUCUUCCUAAAUUUCUUGAAAUUUUCUCACGUUAUACUGAGUGUAUGUUGAUCGUUCAUCCUCGACAAUCAUAUUAUGGAGUAUGAUGCAUGCCUUCAUAAUAUUUGCUAUUUUGUCUUUAUCCCAUAACUUGGAUGGAUUUUUCACUACGGCAAAUCUAGCUUGCAGAACUCCGAAGGCACGCUCGACAUCUUUUCGAACAGCUUCUUGGGUUUUAGCAAAUAACGAAUGUUUCUCACUUUGUGGAAGUCGGAUAUAUUGAAUAAAAGUCGCCCAUUUAGGAUAAAUACCAUCAGUGAGAUAAUAUGCCAAAUGAUAUUGAUUACCAUUAACAUAGAAGUUCACUUCUGGCGCAAUUCCGUUAAUAAUGUCAUCAAAAACGGGGGAUCGAUCAAGAAUAUUAAGAUCGUUCAUAGUACCUGGAGCUCCAAAAAAUACGUGCCAUAUCCAGAGGUCACUUGAAGCUACCGCCUCCAAAACAAUUGUUGGUUUUUCGGUUCCUCGGGAAUACAUUCAUUUCCAAGCAGUGGGGCAAUUUUUCCACUCUCAAUGCAUACAGUCGAUGCUGCCAAUCAUCCCCGGAAACCCACGUUGGUCUCCAAUAUAGAGAAGUCUUUGCAGAUCCUCUUGUGUCGGUUGGCGUAGGUAUUCAUCACCAAACAAGCUGAUUAUUCCGGUGGUAAAUUUGUGCAAAGAUUUCCGAGCUGUCGUUUCAGCAAGUCGGACAUACUCAUCAAGUGAAUCAGCUGCACCGCCAUAUGCUAACUGUCGGAUUGCUGCGGUACAUUUUUGUAGGGGUGUUAGACUAGACCGUCCGGUACAAUUGGUUCCUUGUUGAAAAUACGGUAUGUUGGUUUCGAGACGUUGUACAAUACGCAGGAACAAAUAUUUGUUCAUUCGGAACCGUCGGCAGAAUAACUCGGGAUUGUAAGUUGGAGUCUCGCUAAAGUAAUCAUUCCAGAGCUUCUGGUGGCCGUCUUCUCGGAACCUCUCCAUAUAAAUACGUUGCUUCCGCUUUUUUGGUUAAAUAUUUUCAUUUGGUCAGAAACAAAAUACACUCAAGUUACAAUGAGCAAACAAUAAACUUAUAUACUCCUUACAGACUGGUUACUCGUUCGAAACUAACUACAACAGUUACUACAACUCGUUCGAAACUAACUACAAUGAGCAGACAAUAAACUUAAAUGUCCACACCAGUUUUUUCUAAAAUUCCAACACUGGUAAAUUCAAUGAUGAAGACAAUGUAAUUUAGACAACAGAUCAAUCACGUAUACAUUCACAAUAUUAAACACAGAUCCAUCGAGUUUAAAUCCAAAGUUUAUUCACAAUGUAUACAUUCACAAUGUUUAAAGCCAGCUUUUACCGAAUACACUUCACUAAUCAAUCAAGUAUACAUUCACAAUGUUAAACACAGAUCCAUCGAGUUUAAAUCCAAAGUUUUUUCUAUAAUACACGCAUCAAUGGACUGUACAAUCAGACACAUAUCAGUUCACAAUCAAAUUCCUCGCCAACCAUUCAAUCACAACCUAUACAGACAACCUUUCAAUAACUCUAUACACACGAACUAUACAACCAAACAUUCAGAAACAAACAAAUCAAUUCGAACAAACCAAGCCAAUCGUUUCCUCUAAUUCGCAGACCUUAACAUAGAGACAUAUAAUUAGCAGAUAUAGAAGACAAACCUGGUAUCGUUUGAUUCGGAAGACGACGACGAGAUCCUUCUGGAAUUGGUGAGAAUAGACGACGGCGGCCGAAAACUACCGGCGAGAGAGAGAGAAUAGUGAGACGAUGCAAACCCAGAUCAAAUACCACGCAUGCAAAAGGAAAUCGAACCAAAAAAAAAAUUAGAUCCACAAAACAACCCGAUAAUCGAAAAAUAAAACCAGAGAAGGAACACGAACCUGCUGGAGAUUCGAUGCGCCGGUAGAGCUUUAGAUUGAACGGUGAAUCCGUCUGGUUCGCGACGCGGCGUCACUCCUCCUGUAAUCGCCUCCGACGGAUAGAGAGAGAAGAGGGAGACGCAGAGAAUGGGUCGAGACCGAAUGACCUCUUCUCUCUACCACUUCGUACCUCCUAUCACCAUUCGCCACGUGACACAAGCACCACCACCAAAAACUUCUUACAUAAAAAUCGAUUCCACUUAUUAACUCAUUUUUUUGAUUUAAAUUUGGCCCAAGUUAAUUAUAAGAAUCGGGCUAAGAAGCCCGAUAAUGAUGCUCUUAUGUACCUGAAACUUCUAGUUUGUUACAUUUUGGCCCCCACACAGUUUUUCGCUUUUUGGUUUGGUUCUUGUAGUUUUCUUUCAUUUUUAUUUAGUAAGCAAUUUGUGGUUAAUUGAAGUAGGUUUGGAGUGAUAAUUACAGUGAAUGGAGUUAAUACAACACUAAUUAGCCAACCAAGACCGUAGUAUUAUCACUAACGGCAUGAUUAUGUGAUGCAUCUAAACAUAUUCAUAGUAAAAUGGGUUUCUGAACAUUUCAAACAUUUUUUUCUAGUGUCUGAGAGGAAAUGACAUAUUACUCAAAUUCUAGGCAUAUGGUAAAUCACACUUAUUGAAAACAUUUUUUGAAAACAUUUUUUUUUUCAUAUUUUGAAACUUAAUAUAAAAGUUAGCAUAUAUAAAAUGCGUAUGUAGUCCUACGAGGCUAGGAGACUGGUGUAGAUGUUGCUGGAAACCAACAGUCCAAAUUCUAUAGUAAGAUAAUCUGAAUUUAAAAUAGGAACACACUAUCAUGUUAGAGGACCCACUAUGCACCAACGAUAUGGUACAUGAUAAUACAAUAGGUUUUAUCGGUUAGCUAUUUCCUGUCUUUGUCAUUAUCUCACGCACAUAAUUCAACCAUCGCAUGUAGUAACCACUUUGGUCAAUAACAAAGCCACUCUUAUGCUUAAAACAUGGAGAGAUUAAGGGACAAAAAUAUUGACCAAAGUGGUUACUAUAUAUAUUUGAUUUUUGUUACAUUUGAAUAAAAUUCCUGUACUUUUCUACUGAAAUUAAUACUAUGUGGCCAAUAAAACCAUCUCUAGUUUCUUGCAACUUGGCAUCCAAGUCUCCUGUAACAAAAUUGGAACCAUUAAUAAUUAGAUAAGCCUAGAUGAUGAGGUUUUGACUGAUUGUAUUGUAUGUCGAUAGUAGUUAGAUAUUAUUAAAUAUUAGUGCAAUGAUUUGAUUCAAUAAUUACAAUCACAAGUUCUUUGUCCCCAUCAAGAAACAUAAUGAAUAACUAUAUCUCUCCCAUGUUCUACCACUCACAUUAGAGAUUUUGUUAAUUUGGACAAAGUAAGGCGAAAAAAUAAGAAGAUUUAUACGCAAGAACACUUGACACCGAAGAGAAAAACUAUAUCAAAAUUUCAAACUAUGUUUGUAAAAGAUUAUAAUA